RNAcentral lists this long non-coding RNA (471 nucleotides) under Pongo abelii (Sumatran orangutan). RNAcentral describes it as "lincRNA". The record is from RNAcentral. Lineage: Eukaryota; Metazoa; Chordata; Mammalia; Primates; Hominidae.
GGAAGAAGUUCAAAACCAAGAAAAUGGUGUUUGGCAAGACCAGGAUGCACAAUGGCAAGUUGAGGGCAAGCCGGGUACGUGUCCUGAAUUUAUAGAAUCUUUUGACACAAAGCAACAGAGCCACAGUCAAGAGUCAAGUCAAAAGAAAUUUAGACCCCAUCUGGGCAAACAGGCCUCUAAGCAACAACCUAAGAUUUCCACCUAUUGUUCUGGGGUUCCUUGUAUAAAUGAUUAUGACUGCAGAGAUCUUAGGAAGUGCUGUGGUACCUUUAGAUGUGGCCUGAGGUGCACACAUCCUCUUAUGAUUGACCCUGUAUUUUUCAAUUCACCUCCACAAUCCAAGGCAUAAAUAUUGGAUGGAGAAAUGGAUUCAGAUGGAGGCAUCAUUGAGCUUAUUCUUGACUCAUCUCAGUCCAAACAUUACUUUCUCAAUCGUUGUUCUUAAAAUCUGCAUAUUAAAAGCUCAUCAUC